AUGGCCACCGCAGGAUGUCGCGCGUUCACCCCGGAGCUCCGCAACGUCAUCUGGCCAAGCAAGUUCAAGCCUGACCUGCCCCCACACUACGACGGCACCGCCGACCCCGCCGAGUUCCUGCAGCUCUACGAGCUGAGCAUCAAGGCGGCCAGCAGCGACGAGAAGAUCAUGGCGAACCGGUUCCCUAUGGCUCUCAAGGAUGGCGCGCGUUCUUGGCUCCUGAACCUCCCCGAGGGAUCGGUCUCUUCCUGGGAGGAUAUGCGCGACCGCUUCAUCGCCAACUUCCAGGGCACUCGCAAUCGUCCGCCGGCCACGGGUGACCUGCGUCGCAUCAAGCAGCAGCCAGGAGAGACCCUACAGAAGGAUAUCCAGCGCUUCAACAACGUUUGA
RNAcentral lists this ribosomal RNA (390 nucleotides) under Triticum aestivum (bread wheat). RNAcentral's name for it is "partial small subunit ribosomal RNA". Lineage: Eukaryota; Viridiplantae; Streptophyta; Magnoliopsida; Poales; Poaceae. The record is from RNAcentral.